RNAcentral lists this long non-coding RNA (392 nucleotides) under Nicotiana tabacum (common tobacco). Its description in RNAcentral is "long non-coding RNA (NTAB_LNC001490)". Lineage: Eukaryota; Viridiplantae; Streptophyta; Magnoliopsida; Solanales; Solanaceae. The record is from RNAcentral.
GCCUCUACAUUUUGAAACCUUAAAGAACGGCAAUUGGGAACGCUAUUUUCGCCUAUUUGCCCUAAAAUUUUAUCCUUCAAAUUCGGCACUUCAAUGCCACGAUGUCUCACCGCGAUUUUAACUCCUUACGCACGAACUCUUCUGCCCUGGAUUCCGGUAACAUGAUUUCAAAUUUUUGUCAUAUCAAUUCUAAAAUCAGUUACUUUUACAUUAUUGAUAUCUCUUCUUCAAACGGCUCUACAACUUCUCACACCAAAUUCAAUUUCUAGGCAAUUUGAUACGGAAGAACAGAAGAAACUCACAGGAAAAAAAUUAAAUAUGCAUACGGAAGCAGAAAGGGGCUAAAUAUUCCUCGUGUAAGAAUGGUAUAAACUUUUAUCACUAUAUACAGA